RNAcentral lists this ribosomal RNA (710 nucleotides) under Marinovum sp. Its description in RNAcentral is "bacterial SSU rRNA". It matches the Rfam family "Bacterial small subunit ribosomal RNA", at positions 37 to 795 of the family's 1533-position model. Lineage: Bacteria; Pseudomonadati; Pseudomonadota; Alphaproteobacteria; Rhodobacterales; Roseobacteraceae. The record is from RNAcentral.
UUGCGGGGGCAGCUACCAUGCAGUCGAGCGAGCUCUUCGGAGCUAGCGGCGGACGGGUUAGUAACGCGUGGGAACGUGCCCUUCACUGCGGAAUAGCCACUGGAAACGGUGAGUAAUACCGCAUACGCCCUUCGGGGGAAAGAUUUAUCGGUGAAGGAUCGGCCCGCGUUAGAUUAGAUAGUUGGUGGGGUAACGGCCUACCAAGUCUACGAUCUAUAGCUGGUUUUAGAGGAUGAUCAGCAACACUGGGACUGAGACACGGCCCAGACUCCUACGGGAGGCAGCAGUGGGGAAUCUUGGACAAUGGGCGCAAGCCUGAUCCAGCCAUGCCGCGUGAGUGAUGAAGGCCUUAGGGUCGUAAAGCUCUUUCGCCAGAGAUGAUAAUGACAGUAUCUGGUAAAGAAACCCCGGCUAACUCCGUGCCAGCAGCCGCGGUAAUACGGAGGGGGUUAGCGUUGUUCGGAAUUACUGGGCGUAAAGCGCACGUAGGCGGAUCAGAAAGUUGGGGGUGAAAUCCCGGGGCUCAACCCCGGAACUGCCUCCAAAACUCCUGGUCUUGAGUUCGAGAGAGGUGAGUGGAAUUCCGAGUGUAGAGGUGAAAUUCGUAGAUAUUCGGAGGAACACCAGUGGCGAAGGCGGCUCACUGGCUCGAUACUGACGCUGAGGUGCGAAAGUGUGGGGAGCAAACAGGAUUAGAUACCCUGGUAGUC